CAGCGAGCGGAUGCUGCGCCCCGGCGGCACGGUCUCCGGUCCGACGCUGAUGGCGCUGGCUGACUUUGCAAUGUACGUGGUGCUGCUGUCCGCCAUCGGUCCCGUUGGCCUCGCCGUUACGACCAGCCUCAACAUCAAUUUCUUGCGGAAAGGUCAGCCCGGCCAGGAUGUGCUCGCUGCCGCGAAGCUGAUGAAGCUCGGAAAGCGUCUCGCCGU
Molecule: unclassified non-coding RNA, 216 nt
Filed under: Hevea brasiliensis (rubber tree)
Lineage: Eukaryota; Viridiplantae; Streptophyta; Magnoliopsida; Malpighiales; Euphorbiaceae
Source: RNAcentral